This 468-nucleotide small RNA is filed under the name Pan troglodytes (chimpanzee). Its description in RNAcentral is "processed transcript". Lineage: Eukaryota; Metazoa; Chordata; Mammalia; Primates; Hominidae. The record is from RNAcentral.
GAAGAGGAGCGCCGGGCUGAGUUCUACCACCAGCCCUGGUCCCAGGAGGCCGUCAGUCGCUACUUCUACUGCAAGAUCCAGCAGCGCAGGCAGGAGCUGGAGCAGUCGCUGGUUGUGCGCAACACCUAGGAGCCCAAAAAUAAGCAGCACGACGGAACUUUCAGCCGUGUCCCGGGCCCCAGCAUUUUGCCCCGGGCUCCAGCAUCACUCCUCUGCCACCUUGGGGUGUGGGGCUGGAUUAAAAGUCAUUCAUCUGACAGCAGCCGUGUGGUCAUUGGAAACUGGGGAGGGGAGGGGGAGGGAAGGGGGAGGGAAGAAGGUGGGGAGGCAGUGGGUCCCUCGGGACAACUCCCCAUACCCUUCCCUUGGAUUCUUCUCCUUACUCAAUUUUCCCUAGACCUAAAAACAGUUUGGCAGAAGACAUGUUUAAUAACAUUUUCAUAUUUAAAAAAUACAGCAACAAUUCUC